RNAcentral lists this ribosomal RNA (460 nucleotides) under uncultured bacterium. RNAcentral's name for it is "partial 16S ribosomal RNA". It matches the Rfam family "Bacterial small subunit ribosomal RNA", at positions 338 to 795 of the family's 1533-position model. The record is from RNAcentral.
CCUACGGGAGGCAGCAGUGAGGAAUAUUGGUCAAUGGACGAGAGUCUGAACCAGCCAAGUCGCGUGAAGGAUGAAUGCCCUAUGGGUUGUAAACUUCUUUUAUAUGGGAAUAAAAUGUUCCACUUGUGGGAUUUUGUAUGUACCAUAUGAAUAAGGAUCGGCUAACUCCGUGCCAGCAGCCGCGGUAAUACGGAGGAUCCGAGCGUUAUCCGGAUUUAUUGGGUUUAAAGGGAGCGUAGGCGGGUUGUUAAGUCAGUUGGUAAAGUGUGGGGGUCAACCGGAAGAGUGCAGUUGAAACUGGCGGUCUGGAGUAGAGUAGAGGUGGGCGGAAUGCGUGGUGUAGCGGUGAAAUGCUUAGAUAUCACGAAGAACUCCGAUUGCGAAGGCAGCUCACUGGACUGCAACUGACACUGAGGCUCGAAAGUGUGGGUAUCAAACAGGAUUAGAUACCCUUGUAGUC